CCUACGGGAGGCAGCAGUGAGGAAUAUUGGUCAAUGGGCGGAAGCCUGAACCAGCCAAGUAGCGUGCAGGAUGACGGCCCUACGGGUUGUAAACUGCUUUUAUACGGGAAUAACGCGCCUUACGUGUACGGCUUUGCGUGUACCGUAUGAAUAAGGACCGGCUAAUUCCGUGCCAGCAGCCGCGGUAAUACGGAGGGUCCGGGCGUUAUCCGGAUUUAUUGGGGUUAAAGGGAGCGUAGGCGGCCUGUCAAGUGUGCUGUGAAAUUUGCGGGCUCAACCCUGGCCUUGCAGCGCGAACUGGCGGGCUUGAGUCCGCGGAAAGCAGGCGGAAGUCGUGGUGUAGCGGUGAAAUGCUUAGAUAUGACGCAGAACCCCGAUUGCGAAGGCAGCUUGCUGCAGCGGAACUGACGCUGAUGCUCGAAAGCGCGGGUAUCGAACAGGAUUAGAUACCCCAGUAGUC
This 460-nucleotide ribosomal RNA is filed under the name uncultured bacterium. Its description in RNAcentral is "partial 16S ribosomal RNA". It matches the Rfam family "Bacterial small subunit ribosomal RNA", at positions 338 to 795 of the family's 1533-position model. The record is from RNAcentral.